GGGGUAUAGCUCAGUGGUAAAGCAUUUGCCUUGCAUGCACAAGGCCAUGGGUUCAAUUACCACUACCACCA
This 71-nucleotide transfer RNA is filed under the name Marmota monax (woodchuck). RNAcentral describes it as "tRNA.Ala". It matches the Rfam family "tRNA". From Rfam's summary of the family: Transfer RNA (tRNA) molecules are approximately 80 nucleotides in length. Their secondary structure includes four short double-helical elements and three loops (D, anti-codon, and T loops). Lineage: Eukaryota; Metazoa; Chordata; Mammalia; Rodentia; Sciuridae. The record is from RNAcentral.